AACUGUGCAACAUAAUUAAUUCCACAAGACUUCGAAUGAAAAUUUCACUAGAGCCAUCAAUCUCAAGUGUGCAAGAUAAUCAAACAACUAUGCAAUUUAAAUUUUUGCUGUGGGAUAAUAUCAAAUUACGAAGAAAUAGGGGCCAUUCAAUAUAUCUUCCUGCGCCGGAUUCAGAAAGUAACCUCCGCCGCUGCCGCCUUCAGAAAUUCCUGCUGCCGCCGCCUUGAGAAAUUUCCGAUGCCGCCGCUUUAAGAAAUUCGCAGCCUUCAGAGUUUCACCGGAUGUUGAAUUCUCGUCCACCUCCGACGCAACGCCGCCGCCGCCUUCAGAAAUUUCUGCAACCGCCGACUUGAGAAAGUCGCCGAUACAUUCACAAAAAACAUGCCUCCGCCACCGGAUCUUACAGAGUUUCACCGGAUGUUGAAUUAUCUUCCACCCCCGAUGCAAUAAUAUUCAGAUUCUCCGAUUUUUUCCUUGCACAGAGCGCCUCUUGCACAGAAUUCGUCUGCCCCUUUUUAAAAAACCCUAGGUGAAAGUGAAAGUGAGAGUGAAAGUGGAGAACCGUGAAGUAAUGUAAUUUCUGUUUUACAUUCCUACCCUUUUAAUUUUAAUUAAAUGUGCAACAGUAGUUUGAUCUCAACCAUCUAUAUCCUUUUAAUCAAUGGUUGUUAUUAGUUCCUAGUUUUCAUCUUA
This 693-nucleotide long non-coding RNA is filed under the name Salvia miltiorrhiza (redroot sage). Its description in RNAcentral is "long non-coding RNA (SMIL_LNC013706)". The record is from RNAcentral. Lineage: Eukaryota; Viridiplantae; Streptophyta; Magnoliopsida; Lamiales; Lamiaceae.